This is a non-coding RNA of Mycena leptocephala, 128 nucleotides long. NCBI's taxonomy places the organism in Eukaryota, Fungi, Basidiomycota, Agaricomycetes, Agaricales, Mycenaceae. The record is from the annotation of a GenBank genome assembly.
GCCCUCGUGGAUCAUGGUUGAUUGUCUUCAUCUUAUAAGAUGUUAUGGAACGAUUUAUAACUUAUCCCAUAUAUAAUCAGUCCUGAAAGACUCGGAAGAUGUCGGAGGUUCGAAUCCUACCGAGGGCA